RNAcentral lists this ribosomal RNA (523 nucleotides) under uncultured bacterium. RNAcentral describes it as "bacterial SSU rRNA". It matches the Rfam family "Bacterial small subunit ribosomal RNA", at positions 8 to 518 of the family's 1533-position model. The record is from RNAcentral.
AGAGUUUGAUUAUGGCUCAGGACGAACGCUGGCGGCGUGCCUAACACAUGCAAGUCGAGCGGGGACAUGCGACGGAAGUGAAGUUUCGGAUGGAGCGGAAGAUGUAUGUUCUAGCGGCGGACGGGUGAGUAACGCGUGAGCAACCUGUCCCUUACAGGGGGAUAACACAGCGAAAGUUGUACUAAUACCGCAUAAGACCACGGAUUCACAUGGAUCAGGGGUCAAAGGAGCAAUCCGGUAAGGGGUGGGCUCGCGUCCGAUUAGAUAGUUGGUGAGGUAACGGCCCACCAAGUCGACGAUCGGUAGCCGACCUGAGAGGGUGAUCGGCCACAUUGGGACUGAGACACGGCCCAAACUCCUACGGGAGGCAGCAGUGGGGAAUAUUGGGCAAUGGGGGGAAACCCUGACCCAGCAACGCCGCGUGAGGGAAGAAGGUUUUCGGAUCGUAAACCUCUGUCCUUGGUGAAGAGUAAGAGACGGUAGCCAAGGAGGAAGCCCCGGCUAACUACGUGCCAGCCGCCGC